GAUCAGGUAGAUAGGUUAGAAGUGGAAGUGUGGCGACACAUGUAGCGGACUAAUACUAAUAGCUCGAGGACUUAUCCAAA
Molecule: ribosomal RNA, 80 nt
Filed under: Streptococcus oralis subsp. tigurinus 2425
Lineage: Bacteria; Bacillati; Bacillota; Bacilli; Lactobacillales; Streptococcaceae
Description: partial 23S ribosomal RNA
Source: RNAcentral